GAUGAAGAACGCAGCGAAAUGCGAUAAGUAAUGUGAAUUGCAGAAUUCAGUGAAUCAUCGAAUCUUUGAACGCACAUUGCGCCCCUUGGUAUUCCGAGGGGCAUGCCUGUUCGAGCGUCAUUAUAACCCCUCAAGCUCAGCUUGGUGUUGGGGCCUGCCGCACGGGCAGCCCUUAAAAUCAGUGGCGGUGCCAUCUGGCUCUAAGCGUAGUAAUUCUUCUCGCUAUAGAGUCCCGGUGGAUGCUUGCCAUUAACCCCCAAUUUUCUAUGGUUGACCUCGGAUCAGGCAGGGAUACCCGCUGAACUUAAGCAUAUCAAUAAGCGGAGGA
This 328-nucleotide unclassified non-coding RNA is filed under the name soil metagenome. RNAcentral describes it as "partial contains 5.8S ribosomal RNA, internal transcribed spacer 2, and large subunit ribosomal RNA". The stretch from base 1 to 120 matches the Rfam family "5.8S ribosomal RNA", at positions 35 to 154 of the family's 154-position model. The record is from RNAcentral.